CAGAAUUCCACCUUCCUGCCUUACUUUGAACUCCUUUUUCUAGGGAUUACUGACAAAUCCACACGGGCUGAUCUCCAGAAAGACCGGUCAAAGUGUUGCCGUGAGAAGGGCUGGUGAUAUGAGCCACUCAGAACUUCACUAUGAAACGGAAAGCCAAAACUCAGUUUGCCCUUCCCAUGGUCUUUCCUCAGGCUCUACUUAGAGCUGAAGGUCACCAAGGACAUCAUCUUUAGAUGCAGAAUCCACCUUUUAUUAUCUUCAAUAAACUCACCAACAAAAUACUGGAAUUCAUUUGCCAUCUAUAAGCCUUGAUGAUCCAGUUCCGGUUCAAGGGGAGGUCUUUCAGUCACUGGAGGAAUGGGACCAGGCUUUUACAAAAUGAACAGCAUCUAUACAACUUUUAUCAAGAUGUAACAGGAUGAUCUCAGCAUUUUGACUAUCCAGCCAGAGGAUACAAAAGUUCAU
RNAcentral lists this long non-coding RNA (465 nucleotides) under Cricetulus griseus (Chinese hamster). RNAcentral's name for it is "lncRNA (ENSCGRG00015030246.1)". The record is from RNAcentral. Lineage: Eukaryota; Metazoa; Chordata; Mammalia; Rodentia; Cricetidae.